UGCCGGGGAGUGAAAGUCGAGCGAAUCGAUGGGAGCUUGCUCCCUGAGAUUUUUUCCGGACGGGUGAGUAACACGUGGGUAACCUACCUGUAAGACUGGGAUAACUUCGGGAAACCGGAGCUAAUACCGGAUACUUUCUUUUCUCGCAUGAGAAGAGAUGGAAAGAUGGUUCUGCUAUCACUUACAGAUGGACCCGCGGCGCAUUAGCUAGUUGGUGAGGUAACGGCUCACCAAGGCGACGAUGCGUAGCCGACCUGAGAGGGUGAUCGGCCACACUGGGACUGAGACACGGCCCAGACUC
RNAcentral lists this small RNA (301 nucleotides) under uncultured bacterium. RNAcentral's name for it is "bacterial SSU rRNA". It matches the Rfam family "Bacterial small subunit ribosomal RNA", at positions 56 to 338 of the family's 1533-position model. The record is from RNAcentral.